This 1048-nucleotide ribosomal RNA is filed under the name Cladosporium cladosporioides. RNAcentral describes it as "SSU rRNA". It matches the Rfam family "Eukaryotic small subunit ribosomal RNA", at positions 45 to 1110 of the family's 1831-position model. Lineage: Eukaryota; Fungi; Ascomycota; Dothideomycetes; Cladosporiales; Cladosporiaceae. The record is from RNAcentral.
UAAGCCAGUCUAGUAUAGCACUAUACGGUGAAACUGCGAAUGGCUCAUUAAAUCAGUUAUCGUUUAUUUGAUAGUACCUUACUACAUGGAUAACCGUGGUAAUUCUAGAGCUAAUACAUGCUAAAAACCUCGACUUCGGAAGGGGUGUAUUUAUUAGAUAAAAAACCAAUGCCCUUCGGGGCUCCUUGGUGAAUCAUAAUAACUUAACGAAUCGCAUGGCCUUGCGCCGGCGAUGGUUCAUUCAAAUUUCUGCCCUAUCAACUUUCGAUGGUAGGAUAGUGGCCUACCAUGGUAUCAACGGGUAACGGGGAAUUAGGGUUCGACUCCGGAGAGGGAGCCUGAGAAACGGCUACCACAUCCAAGGAAGGCAGCAGGCGCGCAAAUUACCCAAUCCCGACACGGGGAGGUAGUGACAAUAAAUACUGAUACAGGGCUCUUUUGGGUCUUGUAAUUGGAAUGAGUACAAUUUAAAUCCCUUAACGAGGAACAAUUGGAGGGCAAGUCUGGUGCCAGCAGCCGCGGUAAUUCCAGCUCCAAUAGCGUAUAUUAAAGUUGUUGCAGUUAAAAAGCUCGUAGUUGAACCUUGGGCCUGGCUGGCCGGUCCGCCUCACCGCGUGUACUGGUCCGGCCGGGCCUUUCCUUCUGGGGAACCUCAUGCCCUUCACUGGGCGUGUUGGGGAACCAGGACUUUUACUUUGAAAAAAUUAGAGUGUUCAAAGCAGGCCUUUGCUCGAAUACAUUAGCAUGGAAUAAUAGAAUAGGACGUGUGGUUCUAUUUUGUUGGUUUCUAGGACCGCCGUAAUGAUUAAUAGGGAUAGUCGGGGGCAUCAGUAUUCAAUCGUCAGAGGUGAAAUUCUUGGAUUGAUUGAAGACUAACUACUGCGAAAGCAUUUGCCAAGGAUGUUUUCAUUAAUCAGUGAACGAAAGUUAGGGGAUCGAAGACGAUCAGAUACCGUCGUAGUCUUAACCAUAAACUAUGCCGACUAGGGAUCGGACGGUGUUAGUAUUUUGACCCGUUCGGCACCUUACGAGAAAUCAAAGUUUUUGG